GGGCAUGUGCCGCUGCUAUAAUGCAGUCGAGCGGACAGAUGGGAGCUUGCUCCCUGAUGUUAGCGGCGGACGGGUGAGUAACACGUGGGUAACCUGCCUGUAAGACUGGGAUAACUCCGGGAAACCGGGGCUAAUACCGGAUGGUUGUUUGAACCGCAUGGUUCAAACAUAAAAGGUGGCUUCGGCUACCACUUACAGAUGGACCCGCGGCGCAUUAGCUAGUUGGUGAGGUAACGGCUCACCAAGGCAACGAUGCGUAGCCGACCUGAGAGGGUGAUCGGCCACACUGGGACUGAGACACGGCCCAGACUCCUACGGGAGGCAGCAGUAGGGAAUCUUCCGCAAUGGACGAAAGUCUGACGGAGCAACGCCGCGUGAGUGAUGAAGGUUUUCGGAUCGUAAAGCUCUGUUGUUAGGGAAGAACAAGUACCGUUCGAAUAGGGCGGUACCUUGACGGUACCUAACCAGAAAGCCACGGCUAACUACGUGCCAGCAGCCGCGGUAAUACGUAGGUGGCAAGCGUUGUCCGGGAAUUAUUGGGCGUACAGGGGCUCGCAGGCGGUUUCUUAAGUCUGAUGUGAAAGCCCCCGGGCUCCUCCGGGGAGGGUCAUUUGUAAACUGGGUUAACUUGCGUGGAAAGA
Molecule: ribosomal RNA, 641 nt
Filed under: Bacillus sp. 11090
Lineage: Bacteria; Bacillati; Bacillota; Bacilli; Caryophanales; Bacillaceae
Description: bacterial SSU rRNA
Rfam family: Bacterial small subunit ribosomal RNA
Source: RNAcentral